Homo sapiens (human) is the source of this 1835-nucleotide long non-coding RNA. Ensembl annotates it as IDI2 antisense RNA 1. Its record names the gene IDI2-AS1. The record is from Ensembl. Lineage: Eukaryota; Metazoa; Chordata; Mammalia; Primates; Hominidae.
UGGUUGAACGGACUCACCAGGAAACGUGACUUUCGUGUCCGACCUCUGCUGUAUCAGGAUUCGAUUCUUGGUGUUAAACAAGACAACGCUGAAGGCUCGGUGCAGCAGCCCUGCAAAGGUUUUUCCAGCGCUCUUGGGAGGUGGGCUGUGCCACUGCCUGGCCCACCUGGCCCACCUGGCCCACCAUUACCUGAAGGGAAGCAUGAACAGCCUUUGACGUGGGAGUGGCGACUGCUGAGAGGGAACUGUCUGUACACAAGCAAUGUAGCCUUAUGGGACCUGUGAGUAUAUGCUUAAGUUUUUUUUGUGUUUUUUUUUUUUGGUUGAGAUGGAGUCUCGCUCUGUCACCCAGGCUGGAGUGCAGUGGCACGAUCUCGGCUCACUGCAAGCUCCGUCUCCUGGAUUCACACACCAUUCUCCUGCCUCAGCCUCCCGAGUAGCUGGGACUACAGGCACCUACCACUGCGCCCUGCUAAUUUUUGUAUUUUUACUAGAGAUGGGGUUUCCCCAUGUUGGCCAGGCUGGUCUCAAAACUCCUGACCUCGUGAUCCGCCCGCCUCGACCUCCCAAAGUGCUGGGAUUACAGGCGUGAGCCACUGCGCCCGGCCAAUGCUUAAGUUUUUAUUCAUAAUUUACUCAAAGUCACUGAGCUCUGACUUCAUGCUGGUGAUUCAGAUUUGAGUCCUGGGAAGAUCAUCUGAGAUGACGUUUAAGCCAAGGGUUUAAAUGAGUCAUAUUCAGCCAGGUGCAGACUAAGGCAGUGCAGGUUCCAGGCAGAAGGGAAAGCACGUGGACACGCUGAGAUGCAGGCAAGGCCUCACAGCCAGAGCUGGCUUGUCACCUGGCGUGGGAACACCUUUCCUCUUCAGACUCUGUGUGUUCCUUUUAAUCUGCGUCAGGGCAUGUGAUUGAGCAGCACGUGACCAACCCCACUGCGGCAUCUGUCCCCCGUGGGGUGGGGGUGGGGACAGAGUUCUUUUCCUACAGCAUAAGUGUGUCAUGUCAACCAACGCCGUGUCAGCUGCCUGCAGGGGCCCACGGGCAUGGGGACCCGACGUACACCGUGGGAGCUGACCUUUCUUUCUUCUCUCAGGAGUGGAGCCCCAACCCACGCAGGGCGUGUCUUCAUGGCUUUUCCUGGCCAAUCUGAUACCAAGAUGCAGUGGCCAGAAGUACCUGCACUUCCACUCCUGUCAAGUCUCUGCAUGGCUAUGGUGAGGAAGAGCUCUGCACUGGGCAAGGAAGUUGGCCGUCGAGUGAAGGAAAUGGUGAUGCUGGUGGCCCCUUUCCGGCAGUCAAGUUCCCUAUCAAGGACAUUCAGUUCUCGGAAAGUGGUGAAGGCACAUGCUUCCCUGCAUGGUGCCCGCCUCUCUCCACUCUCUAGAAAUAUUAGAGGCUAGGCUGCUGCUGUAUGUCAGGGCUAGUCCCUCUUCUAUGAAUCCAGAAUAACUCUGAAGAAGCCGAGUAACAGGCAUGAAGUGAAGAGAAAUCGCUGUAACAGGAAGACAGCAAAGCAGAUGCUAAUGACCACACUAUUUAACGAACUGGAACCAACGAGAAAAUACGGUAUUACUGAAGACUGCACUUCCUUGAACAGAGUGCUCUUCUCAGCAAAUCGGAAAUGCCUACACAAAUCGCUUUACAAGAAAGACUGUUUCAAAGCAGCACCUUUCUCAAUGUUCUCGUUCAGGUGACAAUUCUUCUUGGUCUCAGCUCCAAUUUUAUUGUCAUUUUCAUCAAUAAGGAUACACAUCUCUGCCAGGAGUUGAACCUGUUGCUUGUCGAGGUGGUUAGUGUUUAUUUCAGGCAUCAUUACAAAAUGUCUGAUCUGUUCU